Papaver somniferum (opium poppy) is the source of this 1522-nucleotide RNA transcript. It is a transcript of the gene named protein TIC 22, chloroplastic-like, with no coding region annotated. The record is from RefSeq and is a predicted model, not a curated record. NCBI's taxonomy places the organism in Eukaryota, Viridiplantae, Streptophyta, Magnoliopsida, Ranunculales, Papaveraceae. The transcript has 9 exons.
GAAAAAGUGAUAAUAUCUCUUGUAAAAAGGGAGGGUGUAUAGAUCAGUAGGAAACUUUUCUCACUCAUGAGUCGCUUCAUCAUUAAUCUCAUCCGGAUGUAAAACUCAUUUAGGCGUCUUUAACAUAAAUACUGUGGGUCUUAACUUUAAGCCCUGGAAAACAAAUGGCGGAUUUAUCUUUUCCUCAAUCAGCAAUGGAAAACCCUAAAACACCACUUUCAACAAUCUCUACUUUCGUUCACCAACAUUUUAUGCGAUUAGGGUCUGAAUUUUCGAAUCGAUUUGAAGAAGGAAAACGAUUUGUAGUAGAGAAUGUGGUUACAAAAUUUCCCCAAAAGCAUCGUUCUGCACUGUCUCAAUUUGCUUCAGUAAAUCAAGAACUAGGGUUUAGUACUCAUCAUCAUCCUCAAGCUAAGCACGCAUUUGAUAUCGCUUUAAGUGCUGAUUAUGUGGCUAAAACAUUAGCUGGAACUUCUGUUUAUACUGUUAGCAAUAUGAAUAAUGAAUUUGUUCUUAUUUCGGAUCCUAAAAGUGUUAAAUCAUUAGGUCUUCUUUUUUUUAGACAAGAAGAUGCCGAAACCCUUCUUGCCCAGGUUCAGUUAAAGCAACCUGGUUUAGGGAGAGGAGCUAGAGUUGUUCCGAUCACGCUUGAUCAGGUCUAUAUGUUGAAGGUUGAAGGAAUUGCAUUCAGAUUUCUCCCUGAUCCAGCGCAAAUAAGGAAUGCGUUAGAGCUCAAAGCAGCAGAUCUUAAGAGUGGAUUUGAUGGGGUGCCUGUGUUUCAGUCAGAUCUUCUGGUUGUGAAAAAGAAGAACAAACGCUACUCCCCGAUAUACUUCCAAAAGGAAGAUAUAGAAAGAGAGCUCUCGAAAGUCUCUAGGGCGUCAAGAGGAUCGGGUGUUUCUCAACACAUUAUGGUUGGAAGUUUGGAAGAUGUGCUGAAAAAGAUGGAGGUAAACGAUAAAAAUUCGGGCUGGGAAGAUCUGAUCUUCAUCCCACCUGGUAAAAGCUAUUCCCAGCACCUUCAAGAAGUGGCCUCAGCAUAAUUUUGGACCUCUAUAUAUCUUCCAUCAGCCAUAUUAAGGAUCUAGAGGCAGGCAACUGCAUUGCAUAUUUAAGGUCCCUAUGAAGAUUAUAGAGUAUAAGUCAAAGUUAGAGAUAUUCUGGAGGAAUUACACAAACUAAUAUGAGUUUUCUCUCUGGAGCCAACUUCAGAUAUAAAAUGCCAACUUCUCAACUCCUCUUGUGUUUUGUUUCCAUACAGUUGAAGUGGUUUUAACAGUGUUCUAUUUAUUAAUGCGUACUUGUGGUGUGUAAGCAUCACAUUUAUCAGUCAUUAUCUUAUGGUUUCUUUUUGACAUGUUAGGUAGCUCUUCUUGGCAUGAUACUGCUGAUAUUUACAUUAGUUUGGCUUUUCACAUGAUGUCCAUCAAUUUGUUAUCUGUAUGUAUCAUACUUCCUUGUACAAUUUGCAAUCGUGCUAUAGGGAAGAUCUGAUAUUUAUAUGUUCCAUACAUAUGGACCA